This 3195-nucleotide long non-coding RNA is filed under the name Nicotiana tabacum (common tobacco). RNAcentral's name for it is "long non-coding RNA (NTAB_LNC009940)". The record is from RNAcentral. Lineage: Eukaryota; Viridiplantae; Streptophyta; Magnoliopsida; Solanales; Solanaceae.
GGUAGCUGAAAGAUUUUACCUGGAGCAGCUCAAACUGAUAGAAAUUCGAUAGAAUAUCAACAUAUUAUGGAUAUAUUAGAAGCUUCUAAUAUAUUUCCUCAUCACUUGACAAAUAAAAUAGAAAAUAUGUUAUUGAUUCAUUAGCCUUUUGAAAGAAAGCGGAAUUGAUGUUGAGGAAACCUAAUCUAUUGUCUGCACAUUUUGUAUUACAAACCUAGAAAGAAAGAAAAUAAUAUUCAAUACUACGAAGAAAACUAAAAAUUUGUUUGUACCUUGAGAUUGAUUCCUGUUUUAGAACAUUAUGCAGAGCAGAAAGAGGAAUAGCAGCUAGUGACAAUUGCGUCUUCUCUGAAGGUCCUCAGGAGUUCUAAAAUACACAUGCAAGAUGAAAUAUUUCAAUUAAGUAGAUCCAAAAUCGCAUAAAUUAACCUACAAAAAUACUGAAAAAGCUAAAUUUUACAACCUAAAAUACCUAAUGUAGAAGGAGAAAGAGGACUUACAUCUCGAAUUCAAUAGAGUGUUAUAUCCUUCUUUAAAAUACACCGAUUCAACCAAAAUUUCUGUUACUUUCAGUAGAGAAUCAAAAAACAGAAAAGCCACAAAAUAGAGGAAAAAUCAGUAAAGGAAAAACACAAAUUAACAGAGGAAAUAAACCUAAAACCCACAUGCAAGAAGAAAGAAACACAGAAAAGGAAAGUCAAAUAAUGGGGAAGAGAAAUUACCAUAGACAUGAACCCACAAUCCACAUCGCUCAAAAUCAAAGAAUGGGGAAGAAAGCAAAAAAAUUGCAUCUCUUUCAUCACGAAGAAAGGAAUUACCAUACAAAAAAUAUUUUGUGAAUCUCUUUCAGUUUUUUUAUUCUUCAAGUGAGGGUUUUUAAUUUUUCAAGUGGAAGAAAAUGGAAGCUGAAAAGCUUCUCUUUCGUGAAAGUGAGGGAGGGGUUUGGGAAAAAGAAAUAGGGAAAUGAUCAAGAAAGAGGAAACUAUUGACCGCCGCAAAUAUAAUAUUUUUAUGGGGUUGUAUAAAACCCCCAAUUUGAUAUAAAUUGCAGAGGUUACAAUAACCGCCACAAUUAAACCUCCGCAAACUCACCAUUUUUUUGUAGUGAGUAGUGACGAGGUUCAAGUCAAGACACUCACUAGACCAAUAACUUAUGCAUAAUAUCAAUAUAAACAAUCAACGGAAAGCAUAACCAGAUAGAUAGCAAAAAGGAAUAGGCAUGUGAUAACAUAGCAAAUUAACCAAAACUCCUAAAACGCAAGGUGAAAUCAUUUCAAGAAAUCAAUGACACGUUCAAAUCAUCAACCCCUUAUGAUACCAUCGUCCACCAUAUUGGCCUUCUCCGGAUGGUAUAGAAUAGUGAUAUCAUAGUCCUUAAGAAGCUCCAACCAUCUCCUCUGGCGCAAAUUACGAUCCUUUUGUUUAAAUAGAUGUUGCAGACUUCGGUGAUCAGUAUAGAACUCACAAUGAACCCCAUACAAAUAACUAUGCCAAAUCUUCAAGGCGUGAACAAUAGCUGCUAACUCAAGAUCAUGGACAUGAUAGUUCUUCUCAUGGGUCUUCAACUGGCAAAAGGCAUAGGCAAUCACCCUACCCUCCUGCAUCAAAACACACCCAAUGCCUAUCCUCGAAGCAUCAUAAUACACUGUAUAAGAACCUGAAUCUGAUGGCAGAACUAACACUGGAGUUGUGGUCAAGGCAGUCUUGAGCUUCUGAAAGCUCUCCUCACACUCAUCCGACCACCUGAAUGGAGCACCCUUUUUGGGUCAAUUUGGUCAAGAGCGAUGCAAUAGUUGAAAAUCCCUCCACAAAGCGACGGUAAUAACCCGCCAAACCAAGGAAGCUCCUAAUCUUCGUGGACGAGGACGGUCUAGGCCAAAUCUGCACCGCCUCUAUCUUCUUCAGAUCCACCUGAAUACCUUCACUGGACACCACGUGCCCGAAGAAUGCUACUGAACCGAGCCAAAACUCACACUUGGAGAACUUUGCAUAAAGCUUCUCCUCCCUCAAUCUCUGUAGUACAAUCCUAUGAUGCUGGGAGUGCUCCUCCUGGCUACGAGAGUACACUAGGAUGUCAUCAAUGAAAACAAUAAUGAAGGAGUCCAAAUAGGGCUGGAAUACACUGUUCAUCAAAUGCAUCAACGUUGAUAGGGCAUUGGUCAGCCCAAAAGAUAUCACCAAGAACUCAUAAUGGCCAUAACGUGUCCUGAAAGUUGUCUUAAGAAUAUCUGAAUCCCGAAUUUUCAGUUGAUGAUACCCGGACCUCAAAUCAAUCUUGAAGAACACCUUCCCUCCCUGAAGCUGGUCAAAUAAAUCAUCAAUACGAGGCAAGAGAUACUUAUUCUUGACGGUGACCUUAUUCAACUGCCUGUAAUCAAAGCACAUCCUCAUGGAACCAUCCUUCUUCUUCACAAAUUGAACCGGUACACCCCAAUGUGACACACUAGGCCUAAUAAACCCCUUAUCAAGGAGUUCCUGAAGUUGCUCUUUCAAUUCCUUCAACUCCGCCGGUGCCAUACGAUAUGGUGGAAUAGAAAUGGACUGUGUGUCUGGCACCAAAUCAAUGCCAAAGUCAAUAUCCCUGUCAUGCGCCAUGCCCGGCAGGUCUUCAGGAAACACAUCCGAAAAAUCUCGUACUAACGGAACAAAAUCAAUGGUAGGAGUCUCUACACUAACAUCUCUCACAAAAUCCAAAUAAGAUAGGUAACCCUUCUCAACCAUACGCUGAGCCUUUAAGUAUGAAAUCACCCUACUUGGUACAUAAUCUAUAGAACCGUUCCACACAACCCUCGGUAAUCCUAGCAUCGCCAAUGUCACGGUCUUAGUGUGACAAUGUAGAAAAUCAUGGCAUGGAGAUAACCAAUCCAUACCCAAUAUCACAUCAACGUCAACCAUAAUGAGCAACAAAAGGUCCACUCGGGUCGCCAGACCCCCAAUAGUCACCAUAUAUGACCUAUAUAUACGGUCAACAACAAUAGUAUCGCCCACAGGAGUAGAUACAUGAACAGAUAAAACUAAAGACUCAUGGGGCAUAUCCAGAAAAUGAGCAAAAUAUGAGGAAACAUAUGAAUAUGUGGAACCAGGGUCAAAUAAUACAAAGGUAUCUCUGUGAUAAAUUGAGACGAUACCUGUAAUCACGGCAUCUGAAGCAAUAGCAUCUGGUCUGGCCGGGAGUGCAUAGAAACAGACCUGACC